RNA transcript from Biomphalaria glabrata, 4033 nucleotides. It is a transcript of the gene named trichohyalin-like, with no coding region annotated. The transcript has 8 exons. NCBI's taxonomy places the organism in Eukaryota, Metazoa, Mollusca, Gastropoda, Planorbidae. The record is from RefSeq and is a predicted model, not a curated record.
AGCUCAAUUAUCCGUGACGUUUUAACCAAAAGAACCUUAUUUAGAGUGUAAUUCCUUAUCAGGAAGAAAAUAUAAAUCUAAUAUAGAUUUAUAUUCUGCGACUUUUCGUUCACUCAAGUCCAAAUCUACCUCUGUCAAUAUUAAAUCUAUAUAACGUUGUCCCUAACAAGUAUAGAUCUAAAUCUAUAUAAAAAUGAGUGUUAGGGUAUUUGUAAGCAAUUCUGCAGUUAGUAAUGAGGUUCGCAAAAAACAGCAACAUAUACAAGAUGUAUUAACAGCACUGAAAAUAAACUUUGAAGUGAUUGAUGUCCUUGACCCUAGAAAUGACGAGCAGUUAAAGUUCAUGCAUUCAAACAGUAAACCAAAGAAACCCAAUCAGAAGCCUGUGCCACCUCAAGUGUUUAAUGGAGACGAGUAUUGUGGGGACUAUACAAAGUUUGCUGAGUCAUUAGAGUGGGAUCAGUUAUAUGAAUUUCUUAAGCUAGAAAAUCCAAACAAGAUUUCAAAGGCCUCAGUUCUUAUUACAGGGGAGGAAGAGGAAGAAAAAGAAAAAACAGAUCAGCCUGAGAAAACAGAAGACACAGCUGAGAAGAAUGAAGAAGAAAAGACAGAUGGAGAGAAGGAGGGGGUGGUUGAGGUGGAAAAAGAAAAAACAGAAGAGAAAGGUGAGGAUGAAAAAGAUAAUCAGGAGGAGAAAAAAGCAGAAGAGAAAAAAGAGGAAGAGAAAAAAGAAGAGAAAAAAGAGGAUGCAGCAGCUGCCUUCACGAACAGAUUUAAAAAACCUUUUGAUGAUGAUGAGGAAGAAGAGCUGGACUUGAGCGCCUUUGAGGAAAAAGAAGAGAAGAAAGAAGAUGAGAAGCAAGAAGAGAAAGAGGAUCCAUCUGCAGCUUUCAAAAAUAGAUUUAAGAAACCUUAUGAUGAUGAUGAAGAGGAAACCUUAGACCUGAGUGCUUUUGAGGAAAAGGAAGAAAAAAAAGAAGAUGAAAAGGGAGAAGAUGAAAAGGGAGAAGUGAAAGAGGAGCAUUCAGCUGCCUUUAAAAAUAGAUUCAAGAAACCUUAUGAUGAUGAUGAAGAGGAAACCUUAGACCUGAGUGCUUUUGAGGAGAAGGAAGAAGAGAAGGCUAAAGAAAGUAAAGCAGAAGAUGAGAAAAAGGAAGAUGUUGCAUCUUCUUUUAAAAACCGUUUUAAAAAAGCUUUUGAUGAUGAAGAAGAAGAACUGGAUUUAAGCAAAUAUGAAGAAAAAGAAGAUGAAAAGAAAGAGGUAGAAGAAGAAAAAAAGAAAGAAGAAAUAGAAGAAAUUAAGAAAGAGGUAGAGACGAAAGAAGAGGUGAAAAAGGAGGACCCAGCAGCAACUUUCAAAAAUAGAUUCAGAAAGGAUUAUGAUGAUGAAGAAGAGUUAGAUUUAUCUCCUGUGGAAACUGAAGAGGACAAACAAGUGGAUGCCAAAGUAGAGAAAGAAGAAACUAAGAAAGAAGAAACAUCUUUCAAAAAUAGAUUCAAGAAACCUUUUGAUGAGGAGGAAGACACUUUGGACUUGUCUGAGUUUGAGCAGAAAGAGGAAGACAAAAGUGAAACCAAAAAGGAAGAAAGUGAACCCAAAGAAGAAGUACAAGAGACAAGUGAGACAAAGGCUGAGGAAGACUUGAGUGAUGCCACAGAGAAGGAAACAAGGAAAGUGGAGCCCACAGAAUCACAAGAAGAAGCAAAGACAGAAGUGAGUAAAGUGGACAGUGAACCUGUUACUAACAAAGAUGAUCCAGCGUCAGCUUUCAAGAGUAGAUUUAGGAAAGCUGUGGACGAUGAGGAUGAGGGUCUCUCCUUUGAUAAUAAAGACAAGGAAGAUGUUUUGGAGAAAAAAGAGGAAGAAAAGAAAGAAGAGUUGAUAGAGGAGAAAAAAGAGGAAGAGGUAAAGCAGGAAGACAAGGUGGAGGACAAAAAAGAGGAUAAAGAGAAGGCAGAAGAGAAAAAAGAGGAUGAAGAGAAGGCAGAAGAGAAAAAAGAGGAUGAAGAGAAGGCAGAAGAGAAAAAAGAGGAUGAAGAGAAGGCAGAAGAGAAAAAAGAGGAUGAAGAGAAGGCAGAAGAGAAAAAAGAGGAUGAAGAGAAGGCAGAAGAGAAAGCAGAAAAAGUAGAAGAAAAAGAAGAAAAGGUAGAGGAAAAAAAAGAAGCAGAAGAAACGAAAAAGGAAGAAGAUGAAAGUGCAUCCUCAAGUUUUUCAAGAUUCAGAAGGAGAAGGGAUGAAGAUGAAGAAACUCCACUUUUUGAUGAAAAGAAGGAAGAAAGUACGAAGGAAGAACCUCAAGCAGUAGAUAGCAAAAAAGAAGAAAAACUGUCAGAAGAUCAGGCAGAAAAAUCUGCUGAAGAUGACAGAGAGGCCAGGCGAAGGCGUAGGAGGGAGGAUCGAGAGAAAGAGACCACGGAGACUCCCCCACAGGAAGAUGAUAGAGAAGCCAGAAGAAGACGGCGCCGUGAAGAAAAGGAGAAAGAAACUGCUCCAGCUGAAGAGGAGGAUGAUCGAGCGGCCAGGCGAGCAAGGCGCCGCCGUGGUGGUGAUGAAUGAGAAACUUGGAGGGCAAACCAGUGGAGGAAGAUUAGUUUGUUGUGCAUAGAUCAGAAUCCUUAUCUGUUUGACUGUUCAAAUUCAAAUGUAGAAUGACUUUGGUUCAUGAAUGAUGCCAGACCCUAUACUUUGGUUACCCCAGCACAUCACAGUUUAAUAAACCUACUGGAUUUGACCAGAUGCCUUUAUCUUUAGUUUUCCUUUAGGGUGACUACUUUGCACAUAUACCCGAGUCCCAACGUCGGAGCUCAAAACUAAACAAUAACAUUUCUGUUUUGCAGUUGACUAGCUCUAACCUUGCUACUGAAUAUAAAAUGUAGAUAAAAUAUAGUCUGUACCCUAGUUCCUGUUUACCCAUACUAGCUAAUAGUGAGAGUGCUUCAUAUGAUUUGCUUGUCAAGAGAAUUCGUCCUGUAAAAGGGGAAUCUCUGUGUAGACCUUUGCAAUGGACAACAAAGAAAUAACUCAUUCAGAAUUAUUUUCUUUUGUUAAUUUUUAUAAAGUCACCAAAAUGUUCAGCUACAUUUACAUCUGUUUAUUUUAAAAUUAUUUCUCUACAAAUGUUUUGUAAGUGAAUUUUUUUGCUGGAUGAUUUUUAUUUGGAAGCAUAAUGCUUAUAGUUUAGUUUUAUGCCUAUUUAUAGCCCAAUUUAUUUUCAAAACAAUUUCAACUGCUUACUGUUUUUUUAGUUAAUUAUUUACAAUUUGACUUUGGUAGUUGAAUUCAACCUGUUAAAAUGGCCACACCUGCUUAAAGUAUUGGAAUCUGAUCUGACUGAAUGGUCGAUAAAUUCAUGUCCAACAUGACAUUUAAUUUAUUUUCUAUAGCUUCAUUGAAAGCUCUGGUAAGAAUGAUGUAAUCAAAAUAAAUAGUCAAUUUAUAUUGUCACAUGUUGCUAGGAUAUAUACUGUGAAAGCAGCACAUUUUACCAUUGAAACUUUUGUCAUGUUAUUAUGUUUGAUCAAGUGUUGCCAUAGUGUGGUUGGUAGUUUUCAUGUCAUGUAUUUUUUGUACACUUGAAACUCAAGUUAUCAAACUUGAUACUAACAAUACUAUUUUUUUAAGCUCAGAAUUAAUUGUAUGUACAGAGAGUGUGUAAUGUUUCACUUUGUACAUUAAACAGAUGCUAGAUGAGACAUAGAAAAAAUAUUCUGGAAAGGAUAAAUGUUAGUGAUCUGUUACUUAUUUUAAGUGGGGGUGGAUGUUUCUCAUAAACCCAAGUUUAUAAUCAUUCUGUUUACUUCACAUUUUAUGGCUUAAGUCUGUUGUAUUUACUCUUAUAAAACUCAUGUUGUUUGACAAGUGAUACAAGUAUGUGAUAACCCCCCACUCUUCAAUCUUGGCCACUAUAUUUCUAUGCAUAGGAACCACAAGACACACUAUCAUGUAUAUAGUGAAAAUGAAUUUUUUUUUUUUUUGUAUAUAAUUAUGUCAGCUAGGAUUUUUUUCAAUUGAAUAAACAAAUUCAACUCCUCA